This 239-nucleotide ribosomal RNA is filed under the name uncultured bacterium. Its description in RNAcentral is "partial 16S ribosomal RNA". It matches the Rfam family "Bacterial small subunit ribosomal RNA", at positions 100 to 339 of the family's 1533-position model. The record is from RNAcentral.
GGACGGGUGAGUAACGCGUGAACAAUCUGCCUAUGUCAGGGGGAUAACGUUGAGAAAUCGACGCUAAUACCGCAUAAGACCACGGAUGGGCAUCCAUCAGGGGUAAAGGAAUUAUCGGACAUAGAUGAGUUCGCGUCCCAUUAGGUAGUUGGUGAGGUAACGGCCCACCAAGCCGACGAUGGGUAGCCGACCUGAGAGGGUGAUCGGCCACAUUGGAACUGAGAGACGGUCCAGACUCC